AGCUUGCUUCUCCCCGGCGACGAGUGGCGAACGGGUGAGUAAUACAUCGGAACGUGUCCGCUCGUGGGGGACAACCAGCCGAAAGGUUGGCUAAUACCGCAUGAGUUCUACGGAAGAAAGAGGGGGACCCGCAAGGGCCUCUCGCGAGCGGAGCGGCCGAUGAUUGAUUAGCCGGUUGGUGAGGUAACGGCUCACCAAAGCAACGAUCAGUAGCUGGUCUGAGAGGACGACCAGCCACACUGGGACUGAGACACGGCCCAGACUCCUACGGGAGGCAGCAGUGGGGAAUUUUGGACAAUGGGCGCAAGCCUGAUCCAGCUAUUCCGCGUGUGGGAUGAAGGCCCUCGGGUUGUAAACCACUUUUGUAGAGAACGAAAAGACACCUUCGAAUAAAGGGUGUUGCUGACGGUACUCUAAGAAUAAGCACCGGCUAACUACGUGCCAGCAGCCGCGGUAAUACGUAGGGUGCGAGCGUUAAUCGGAAUUACUGGGCGUAAAGGGUGCGCAGGCGGUUGAGUAAGACAGAUGUGAAAUCCCCGAGCUUAACUCGGGAAUGGCAUAUGUGACUGCUCGACUAGAGUGUGUCAGAGGGAGGUGGAAUUCCACGUGUAGCAGUGAAAUGCGUAGAUAUGUGGAAGAACACCGAUGGCGAAGGCAGCCUCCUGGGACAUA
This 672-nucleotide ribosomal RNA is filed under the name uncultured beta proteobacterium. RNAcentral describes it as "bacterial SSU rRNA". It matches the Rfam family "Bacterial small subunit ribosomal RNA", at positions 65 to 738 of the family's 1533-position model. The record is from RNAcentral. Lineage: Bacteria; Pseudomonadati; Pseudomonadota; Betaproteobacteria.